RNAcentral lists this ribosomal RNA (775 nucleotides) under uncultured Neocallimastigales. RNAcentral describes it as "partial large subunit ribosomal RNA". It matches the Rfam family "Eukaryotic large subunit ribosomal RNA", at positions 24 to 646 of the family's 3401-position model. The record is from RNAcentral. Lineage: Eukaryota; Fungi; Neocallimastigomycota; Neocallimastigomycetes; Neocallimastigales.
UAUCUCUGUAGAGUCUGCAUAUCAAUAAGCGGAGGAAAAGAAACUAACUAGGAUUCCCUUAGUAACGGCGAGUGAAGCGGGAAGAGCUCAAAUUUGAAAUCUUCAAGGUCUUACCUUGACGAAUUGUAGUUUAAAGAAGUGUUUUCUGUUGAGGUUUUGGUAAAAGUUCUUUGGAAUAGGACAUCAUAGAGGGUGAGAAUCCCGUAUUUGACCUUUACUUUCAACUUUGUGAUACACUUUCAAAGAGUCGGAUUGUUUGGGAAUGCAGUCCAAAAUGGGUGGUAAAUUUCAUCUAAAGCUAAAUAUUGGCGAGAGACCGAUAGCGAACAAGUACCGUGAGGGAAAGAUGAAAAGAACUUUGAAAAGAGAGUUAAACAGUACGUGAAAUUGUCAAAAGGGAAGCGUUUGACACCAGUGUUGCUUUUCUGAAAAUCGAUUAAAGAACUGUUUAUGCUAAGUUGUUUAGACUUUAUCAGCUAACUGUUUAGUUUUGAGCUUUUCUUUAAUGCACUUUUCAGUUAACAAGUCAACAUCAAUUUCUUUUGCUGUAAAAAAGCUUGAGGAAGGUGGCUUGAGAUUCGUCUUAAGUGUUUAUAGCCUCUUGCCUAUGCAGUCGGAGAGAUUGAGGUCUGCAGCGUAGAUCCUUCGGGGCUAAAUGCAUUUGUGCUAAGUUAUAGCAUUUUAUAGACAACUUGUUGACUAUGAUUUGUCUUGUAGCUUACUCGCUUAUGUUAUUUUACCUACGCUUAGGAUGUUGACGAUCAGCUGAGCGCGC